AUCCACUCAUUAUUUUCACAUAGCCACGCAACCAUCCGGUACACAGCAGAAUCAACGACACAAGUACCCAACCGAACUACACUAGGGCAAAGACUAUACAAAAUGACCAUCCAUUCUUACUAGUCUUUCUCUUUUGCGUUCCUCAUAAACAACAAAAUGGACUUCAAAUGAACAUUAAUGUUCUCUUCUCUUUUUCUUACUGAGUGCACUGCAAAUGAUUUCUAGAAGAAAAAAAGAGUGAGCUGCAAAACAACUCACUCAGCGACGAGGGACUGCAGUAUGGUCACCGGCAAAACGCACGACAUGCAUGAUUAGCUGGCGAACCCCAAGUGCACACUAGAGGAGCUACAUGUUUUGAGAAGUGAACCUCUUGGCUACUAACCGCUUAGUAUUUUUAUACUGAGCCGCUUCGCAAUCUCACACAAAACUGCAUACUGAACUCCAUGAUGAAGUGUGUAUGACUUUUCUUUGUCUUUUUCGUCAACCGCCGAACCACAAGGCACAAACCAUCGUCGUUUUGCCAACCGGCGCCACCGCACUGCACCUGACGCGCCACCGUGCUGCACCUGACGCGCCACCGUGCUGCACAGAGAAAAGGAGACGGGGUUAGGAGGAUGUGGCGCUGGAACUGAAGUGCUAAAAACAGGGGGGUCAGGAGGAUGUGGUGGUUUGCAGGGGCAAAACGGGUGGCCGCCGGCGUUGGGGGUGGAUCCCGUGGCCCCCCAUCAGCGUUCGAAGGGGUGGACCGAACUACAAACGCCUGUUUGGUCGAGCUGCACGCUGCUGUGGGCAGAACUGCACCCCCAUGUGCACCUCGCCGCCGCUGUUGGAGGGAGGAAGGACGCUGCGGUCGUAGGAUGCAGUCCAGGUGGUCGACGCGCGUGGUCGCCAUGGUGCUCACGGAAGGGGAGGUGAUGGCCGCCCGCACCCACACAGGGACAGGAAGACGCGUGGGGAUCCAGCCUCCUUGGGAACACGCGGGACCGCCGCCCACUCCCAGCCCGGGAUCAGAUCUCCAAGCGGUGGUAGGUGAGCCGCCGGCCAUCCAGCACAGCGGCGCUGGUGCGACCAGAGGUAGGGCGGUGCCGGUCAGGAGGGAAGGGGGCGCCGGAGGAAGAUGCCAACGGGGAGGACCGGGCGCGUUCCAGAUCUCGGGCGCGUAGCUUCCAGCACCGUUGCUGAGCGGCGCCUCCUCGAUCUGGCGCGGGGCAGCAGGUUGGUAGCCAGAGAGGGGCGGCGCGGUGGGAAGGAGGUGGGGCUCUGCGGAGGAGAAGGAUGAGUCCCGUCGGUGGGGGUAGGUGUGGGUGGAAGGCCGGUCGGUGGAGGGUGCCCGGCCGGCGCGGCGCGGCGCUGGUGGCUGCCGGCGAUGGCGGUAGAAGGUGAUGAGGAUUGGGGUUGGUCUGGUGCGAGGCGUGAAGGGGCGGCGCGGGGAGGGAGGUUGUGCGGUGGAGGCGUUGGGGUGGGAGGUGGUUCGGAGAGGAAGGAGAUGGGAAGACGAAAGUGGGAGGAAGUGCGGG
Molecule: ribosomal RNA, 1517 nt
Filed under: Triticum aestivum (bread wheat)
Lineage: Eukaryota; Viridiplantae; Streptophyta; Magnoliopsida; Poales; Poaceae
Description: partial small subunit ribosomal RNA
Source: RNAcentral